GACGAACGCUGGCGGCGUGCUUAACACAUGCAAGUCGAACGGAAAGGCCCUGCUUUUGUGGGGUGCUCGAGUGGCGAACGGGUGAGUAACACGUGAGUAACCUGCCCUUGACUUUGGGAUAACUUCAGGAAACUGGGGCUCAUACCGGAUAGGAGCUCCUGCUGCAUGGUGGGGGUUGGAAAGUUUCGGCGGUUGGGGAUGGACUCGCGGCUUAUCAGCUUGUUGGUGGGGUAGUGGCUUACCAAGGCUUUGACGGGUAGCCGGCCUGAGAGGGUGACCGGCCACAUUGGGACUGAGAUACGGCCCAGAAUCCUACGGGAGGCAGCAGUGGGGAAUAUUGCACAAUGGGCGGAAGCCUGAUGCAGCAACGCCGCGUGCGGGAUGACGGCCUUCGGGUUGUAAACCGCUUUCGCCUGUGACGAAGCGUGAGUGACGGUAAUGGGUAAAGAAGCACCGGCUAACUACGUG
This 468-nucleotide ribosomal RNA is filed under the name uncultured bacterium. RNAcentral's name for it is "partial 16S ribosomal RNA". It matches the Rfam family "Bacterial small subunit ribosomal RNA", at positions 28 to 507 of the family's 1533-position model. The record is from RNAcentral.